GAUGAACGCUGGUGGCGUGCCUAAUACAUGCAAGUCGAGCGAACAGACGAGGAGCCUGCUCCUCUGACGUUAGCGGCGGACGGGUGAGUAACACGUGGAUAACCUACCUAUAAGACUGGGAUAACUUCGGGAAACCGGAGCUAAUACCGGAUAAUAUAUUGAACCGCAUGGUUCAAUAGUGAAAGACGGUUUUGCUGUCACUUAUAGAUGGAUCCGCGCCGCAUUAGCUAGUUGGUAAGGUAACGGCUUACCAAGGCAACGAUGCGUAGCCGACCUGAGAGGGUGAUCGGCCACACUGGAACUGAGACACGGUCCAGACUCCUACGGGAGGCAGCAGUAGGGAAUCUUCCGCAAUGGGCGAAAGCCUGACGGAGCAACGCCGCGUGAGUGAUGAAGGUCUUCGGAUCGUAAAACUCUGUUAUUAGGGAAGAACAAAUGUGUAAGUAACUAUGCACGUCUUGACGGUACCUAAUCAGAAAGCCACGGCUAACUACGUG
Molecule: ribosomal RNA, 497 nt
Filed under: uncultured bacterium
Lineage: Bacteria
Description: partial 16S ribosomal RNA
Rfam family: Bacterial small subunit ribosomal RNA
Source: RNAcentral